RNAcentral lists this non-coding RNA (23 nucleotides) under Cricetulus griseus (Chinese hamster). The record is from RNAcentral. Lineage: Eukaryota; Metazoa; Chordata; Mammalia; Rodentia; Cricetidae.
UUUGGAAAGUACCGUAAUGAAAC